This 120-nucleotide ribosomal RNA is filed under the name uncultured bacterium. RNAcentral's name for it is "partial 16S ribosomal RNA". It matches the Rfam family "Bacterial small subunit ribosomal RNA", at positions 29 to 161 of the family's 1533-position model. The record is from RNAcentral.
AACGAACGCUGGCGGCAGGCUUAACACAUGCAAGUCGAACGCCCCGCAAGGGGAGUGGCAGACGGGUGAGUAACGCGUGGGAACCUACCCAGUGGUACGGAACAACCCAGGGAAACUUGG